GACAAUAUACAAGAACAGUAAUAAUAAACAAAAAGGACCAGAGGAAGUGUGUGUUCAUUUAAAGAAAUGUUUGUCUAUGAAUUAAUUAGAGAACAGUCCAUUUCUCUUGGCAUUAUGUGUCUUUUCUGUGAGGAAAAUGAGUGAGAGUUGCUCUGUCUGCAUUCCUUUGUGCAAUAAAACCAGUGUUAUCAGCAUUGGUUGCCAUGGAACCAGAGGCCUGUUCUGCCUUUCUGAGGUGUUAGAUGCAUUUCGGGGGAAGGGUCCACAUACCCUCAUAUUUGGUUUGUUGAUUGAGGGGUGUUACAGAGUAUUUGUUAAAUAUAACAACAACAACAAAAAAUAAUAAUAAUUGUGUGUCUGAUUGGUCCAGACGCUACAACUGAGAUACUACUUGUUGGGUUGAAAGUUUGUCUUAGUAACUGAUCAUGCCCCACUGAAAUGGAUGUCUCAAAACAAAGGGAAAAAUGCAUGAGUCACUUGCUGGUAUCUUCAGUUGCAGCACUUCCAGUUUACAGUGGAACAACGUGUUGGGAAUUCUCAUGCAAAUGCUGAUAACAUGUCCAGGAGGCAUUACUGCUUCAGGAUGAUAUACCCCUGGAAAAAGGGGUAUAUCGGGCGUCAGCACUGUCCCUCACAAAGCAACAUAGCCACCGUCAGCACCAUGGAGAGCCACCAUUAGAGAAGGCCUCAAAGUGUGCUGUUCAGGAGCAGCUCCUCAAAAACAAAUGUGAUCCCUUUUCCCCUCUGACAGGGAGUCUUAGGUGCAAGCUGUUGGGCACAAUCAGCCACAACAUAAAAGAGGACAAAGAGGCCACAGUAGGAGAGCAGCAGGUAAGCCGGGCAAACACACAGAACUUGUUUCUCUGUCCAGGCGUUAGACCAGUCAAACUCUUGGGGAUAUAAACAUCAACAGGGACGUGAGUAGACUGAACCUCACCCGCUAAUCCAUCUCUUUUGCCUACCUUUUUCAGAUGUAAUUUGAUGUUAGGCACAAUUCAAGAGAGAAGAGAUACUUUAGUUCCAGUUUCUCUCUAUUCCCUCUCCCCACCAUUCUAAAAAAAAAAAAAAAGUUAAGUUUUGCCUUGAUUCAGCCUCUGCCUCUUGCGUCGUUCCUUUUAUCUUCCUGAGGUUACCCACCAAGUCCUGGGUCUCUCUCUCUCUCUCUCUCUCUCAGACAGUGAGCGCGUAGCACACCUCCAUUUUCCUGCGUCUCCUGUCAUUUUGGCGGGUCUUACAGGAGGAACGGUGUCCCCGCCUGCACCGUGAGUUGACUCAUUCUUUCCUUCCUACGGCGGUGACAAUGGAGCAGAUGGUGCUGGUCUCGAAAGCCCACGACGACGCUCUCUGUGUAAUGUUCCCUCACACUGUUUCCGAUAACGGCUUUGCUUUGUCUAUUCACCCAGACGGGGCCGGCAGUGCUGUCUCUGCUAGAAUGUACAGCCUCUGAUUAGCACAAAUAGCACUCAGUAAUGUCUUUAGGCUCGU
Long non-coding RNA from Cyprinus carpio carpio, 1485 nucleotides. The record is from Ensembl. Lineage: Eukaryota; Metazoa; Chordata; Actinopteri; Cypriniformes; Cyprinidae.